CCCACAUCCACGCUCACGCAGAAACGCACAUCCAAGUGAUGUACACACAUACACACACAUUCCACCGGUGACUCUGUAGUCAUCGCCUUGCUUCCAGACACCGACGUGCUUUUGGAUUUAGCAGCCGGUGCCUCCUCUCAGCGAUGGUGUAAGGAGCUGCCAGAGGCAACUGGAGUUAAUGUGAGACCACUUAUACUGAGAUGUUAGUCCCUUCCAAUUAGCAUCAACUCUACAAGGAUGGGGAUUUAAAGGAGUGUUAGGUGUUCUACAAUAAACGGGACUAACUGACAGAAGAACCUAAGGCAUCGUGAUUUUAUUUUGGUGACCACGAUUCAGAAUCAGGACAAGAAACCUGUUCCUGGUUCAUGUCAUCUUAGCAACUUUGCUAUUAAAAAGCACCAAUAGCUCCAAGGAGCUGAUUCAAAUUCAGACUUCAGCAUCAGCUAGUGACAGCAUCAUCUUAUAUGUCCACUCUUUAUGCUGAAUACACUUAUUUGUUUUAAUACUGGAGUAAAUUUGCAAUAACUCCAGUUGAUAAAGUACAGAGGCUAAACUACCAUAUGAUGUACAGUCAGCAAAACCUGCAGCUGUUCUGUUAAGAAAGACAAAAAAAUCUAAUGAAUUUUCUAAUUAUGUAAUUGGUUUCAUUAUACAUAUAUGUGCAUGUAUAUAUACAGGGGUGCACAUAAGUGGUCCGCAGGUGCGCAU
This is a long non-coding RNA of Oreochromis aureus, 708 nucleotides long. NCBI's taxonomy places the organism in Eukaryota, Metazoa, Chordata, Actinopteri, Cichliformes, Cichlidae. The record is from Ensembl.